AUUUUGUCCCUCAAAAUGAGAACGCAGGAUGCAUUUCUAAGGGAAGAAAGCCCCUAAAGGGGUUUGUCUAUUCUCAACUUUAAUGAAGUACACGUUUUAAAUAUUGCCUUUGUAAGCACAGCAGCAUUGGAAUUUCUUUUCAGCAUUUUAUUGAAAAGUAGGGAAAUAUUGGAGCAUUCCAACUGGGGAAGGAAACUAAGCUUCUCCUUUGAAGCUCCAGCUGCACUUAGGUCUAAUGCGAAAGGCAGUAUUUGCUUUAGCCACUUCCUGACUUUCUGAUGAGAUGUGGAAACUAGAAGUCAGCAGGAUUCCAAAGCUGGGAGUCAAACCCUACGUCCAAUCCCUUGGCUCAGUCCCUGUCUUCCAGAGAUGGCAUCCUGAGUAAAGACAAACACCGCUGGUUUUUCUCUUCCUCCAGAUCAGGUAGUGGAAUGACAAGUGACUGUCAUUCUGCUGCUAUGGAGAAUGUGCACUCAGAGGAAGAGAGCGGGUGAAUCUACAUGAUAGAGUGGAAGCCACAAAGGAAGAAGAAGAAGAGAUUCUAUCUGGGUAUGGAGAAUGAAAAAAAAAAAAGGUGUAAAGAGGGGUCUGGCUCUGUCAUCCAGGCUGGAGUGCAGUGACUCAAUCAUGGCUCACUGCAGCCUUAACUUCCGGACCUCAGGUGAUUCUCCCACCUCAGCCUGUCAAGUAGCUGGGACUACAGGUACACACCAUCAUUCACAGCUAAUUAUUUUGUUUUUUUUUUUUUUUAAAUAAAGACAGGGUUUCACCAUGUUGCCCAGGCUGGUCUCGAACUCAAGAACUGAGCUCAAGCAAUCUGCCUGCCUCCAUCUCCCAGACUGCUGGGACUACAGGUGCAAGCCACUGCACCCGGCUACUUUUUAAUUUUUCAAAAUACUGCAUUAAGAGUAUUUAUCUUGGCUGGGCGCGGUGGCUCACGCCUGUAAUCCCAG
RNAcentral lists this long non-coding RNA (953 nucleotides) under Homo sapiens (human). Its description in RNAcentral is "HSALNT0113600". The record is from RNAcentral. Lineage: Eukaryota; Metazoa; Chordata; Mammalia; Primates; Hominidae.